Molecule: ribosomal RNA, 479 nt
Filed under: uncultured bacterium
Lineage: Bacteria
Description: partial 16S ribosomal RNA
Rfam family: Bacterial small subunit ribosomal RNA
Source: RNAcentral
GAUGAACGCUAGCGGGAGGCCUAACACAUGCAAGCCGAGCGGUAGAGUUUCUUCGGAAACUUGAGAGCGGCGCACGGGUGCGUAACACGUGUGCAACCUACCUUUAUCUGGGGGAUAGCCUUUCGAAAGGAAGAUUAAUACCCCAUAAUAUAAUGAUUGGCAUCAAUUAUUAUUGAAAACUCCGGUGGAUAGAGAUGGGCACGCGCAAGAUUAGAUAGUUGGUGAGGUAACGGCUCACCAAGUCAAUGAUCUUUAGGGGUCCUGAGAGGGAGAUCCCCCAAGAUGGUACUGAGACACAGACCAGACUCCUACGGGAGGCAGCAGUGAGGAAUAGUAAACAAUGGGUGAGAGCCUGAUCCAGCCACCCCGCGUGAAGGAUGACGGUCCUAUGGAUUGUAAACUUCUUUUGUACAAGGAUAAACCUACCCUCGUGAGGGUAGCUGAAGGUACUGUACGAAUAAGCACCGGCUAACUCCGUG